AGAGUUUGAUCCUGGCUCAGGAUGAACGCUGGCGGUAUGCUUAACACAUGCAAGUCGAACGGAACUCUUCGGAGUUCAGUGGCGGACGGGUGAGUAACGCGUGAGAAUCUGGCUUCAGGUUCGGGACAACCAUUGGAAACGAUGGCUAAUACCGGAUGUGCCGCAGGGUAAAAGAUUAAUUGCCUGAAGAUGAGCUCGCGUCUGAUUAGCUAGUUGGUGGGGUAAGAGCCUACCAAGGCGACGAUCAGUAACUGGUCUGAGAGGAUGACCAGUCACACUGGGACUGAGACCCGGCCCAGACUCCUACGGGAGGCAGCAGUGGGGAAUUUUCCGCAAUGGGCGAAAGCCUGACGGAGCAAUACCGCGUGAGGGAGGAAGGCUCUAGGGUUGUAAACCUCUUUUCUCAGGGAAGAAUAAAAUGACGGUACCUGAGGAAUAAGCAUCGGCUAACUCCGUGCCAGCAGCCGCGGUAAUACGGAGGAUGCAAGCGUUAUCCGGAUUUAUUGGGCGUAAAGCGUCCGCAGGUGGCAGUUCAAGUCUGCUGUCAAAGGUCGGGGCUCAACCCCGAACAGGCAGUGGAAACUGAACAGCUAGAGUACGGUAGGGGCAGAGGGAAUUCCCAGUGUAGCGGUGAAAUGCGUAGAGAUUGGGAAGAAACACCGGUGGCGAAAGCGCUCUGCUAGGCCGAAACUGACACUCAUGGACGAAAGCUAGGGGAGCGAAUGGGAUUAGAUACCCCAGUAGUCCUAGCCGUAAACGAUGGAUACUAGGCGUUGUGAGUAUCGACCCUCACAGUGUCGUAGCUAACGCGUUAAGUAUCCCGCCUGGGGAGUACGCGCGCAAGCGUGAAACUCAAAG
This 858-nucleotide ribosomal RNA is filed under the name uncultured Chroococcidiopsis sp. RNAcentral's name for it is "bacterial SSU rRNA". It matches the Rfam family "Bacterial small subunit ribosomal RNA", at positions 8 to 906 of the family's 1533-position model. The record is from RNAcentral. Lineage: Bacteria; Bacillati; Cyanobacteriota; Cyanophyceae; Chroococcidiopsidales; Chroococcidiopsidaceae.